GUUUUUAUAGUUUAAGUUAAAAUACUGAUUUUGUAAAUCAGUGAUAUGCAAUUUUAAAAACA
Molecule: transfer RNA, 62 nt
Filed under: Bostrichoidea sp. 1 KM-2017
Lineage: Eukaryota; Metazoa; Arthropoda; Insecta; Coleoptera
Description: tRNA-Thr
Rfam family: tRNA
About the family: Transfer RNA (tRNA) molecules are approximately 80 nucleotides in length. Their secondary structure includes four short double-helical elements and three loops (D, anti-codon, and T loops).
Source: RNAcentral